Molecule: ribosomal RNA, 459 nt
Filed under: uncultured bacterium
Lineage: Bacteria
Description: partial 16S ribosomal RNA
Rfam family: Bacterial small subunit ribosomal RNA
Source: RNAcentral
CCUACGGGUGGCAGCAGUGAGGAAUAUUGGUCAAUGGCCGUAAGGCUGAACCAGCCAAGUAGCGUGAGGGAAGACUGCCCUAUGGGUUGUAAACCUCUUUUAUGCGGGGAUAAAGGUGUCCACGUGUGGAUGUUUGCAGGUACCGCAUGAAUAAGGACCGGCUAAUUCCGUGCCAGCAGCCGCGGUAAUACGGAGGAUGCGAGCGUUAUCCGGAUUUAUUGGGUUUAAAGGGUGCGUAGGCGGAAUGCCAAGUCAGCGGUAAAAUCGCGGGGCUCAACCUCGCUCCGCCGUUGAAACUGUUUCCCUUGAGUGUCGGAGAGGUAAUCGGAAUUCCUUGUGUAGCGGUGAAAUGCGUAGAUAUAAGGAAGAACACCAGUGGCGAAGGCGGAUUACUGGACGAUAACUGACGGUGAGGCGCGAAAGCGUGGGGAGCAAACAGGAUUAGAUACCCCUGUAGUC